CUUUUAUUGAUAGCUUGUAUAGUUUGUGUUUCUUCCAAGUUGCCCUCCUCCAUGCUCUUGUCUCUGUUAAUCUAUCUUCUCUGUUAGAGACACUUCUCACACAUUUAGUGGUAUUUCUUUGUGAUGAACUCAAAAUUAUUCAGAAGCUUUAAGCAUGUGGUGGGGCCUUCUCACUUUCAGUUUUGUGUCAGUAUAUUCUGGAAGGGCCAUUUGUUUUGGAAUCCCAUGCUGGUAUCUUCAGUCUUUUAGGGCAAUCAGAUUCUCCAAGAACAUUGUGAUAGUCUCUUUCCUAUAGGAUAAAAGUCUGAAUACCCUAUCUCUGGCAGCUCAGUGUAUGGGGAGCAGGUAGGAUAGCUGGACUGGAUGUUCAGUGACUAAAUCCACCUCUUUUUAGUACACUUGGCUAGGCUGACCUCAGGUUUUUCCAGAGAAAGGCCCUCCAGUCUUCUGUCAGGGUAGGGGAGAGGGAGCCACUUAAAGGCGUGGCCUUGAGGCUCUCUCAUUGUACAAGGGCUGCCUCUUUCACUGUCAUUGUCCUUGGGCCUCCACUUUAUCUACCUGUGGUUCCAUCUGCAUUUAGUGCUGCUGGUUCUGAGCCUUCUACACAUCCUGCUGUGGAAAUAGAAUUGGUACUCUGUAUUUUCUGCAGCUGACCUAGGGUCUGGCUGUCUAGGACCUGCUGAGUCAUUUACUGUGCUUAGAUCUUUUAUUGUUUCUCUUUCAGGUUUUUUUCUUUUUUACUAUUUGUUUUGUUUUUGUCUGUGCUAGACCUUUUCUCCAAGUUUCACAAAUUUUAACAUUUUCCCUGCUUUGAGUUCUCCUUGGCCUGUGUAUUUAGCUUAAAAAUUAAAAAAAAAUAUCCCUUUAGUAUAAUUUUAGUGGGAAGGAAUGAAAUAGCUCUGUAUAUUCUGAUUGCCAUCUUACGCUGAACUUAUUAGCUAACUUAUGCUUAUUGAUGUUUUAAUAGUUUUCAGUUAUUUCAUGUCCUUUUUCUUCAAGAAGAAUGUGGGUUUGAGAACAAGGUCUUGAUACAUUUUUUAUUCUUCAAGGUCUAGCAGUUUGCAUGGUAGGCAUAUAGGACUGUAAGAUGGUGAACACAGGAGAACUUGGUAAAAGCAGGUGGUUAUGUAUAUAUACAUCUUGUCUCUUUCAGGUUCUUGGACUACAAUGGAAAGUAGAAAGAGACACUAGAAGUAUUUUAAGUUGUCAUUAGAUUUCUUCGGAGUUACUGUUGCCUUUUGAGCUAUAUAUCAUUUCUUGGCUUCCAUGCUUUAGUUUCAUUGAAGUCUCCAAGGAAAUAGAACUCAUUAGCUUACCAUCUUGAACCUGAAACCACUGAGGAUUUUGAGAGGUGUGAGAUAUGAUAUAUUGGUUUUUCAUGUGGAGAUUUGAAGAGGUAGGGAGGGGCAUGUUGGUUUGUUGCGUGAGGAUUUCAGGGGAGGUGAGGGUAUGCUGGUUUGUCAUGUUAGGAUUUUAGGAGGUGGGAGAUAUGUUGGUUUGCCAUGUGAAGAUUUUAGGUGGUGGGGGUGGUUUCUUGUGUGGCUUAGGAGAAAACGUCAUAGUUUUAGAGUCAUUUAUGCCUGAGGUCAAAACCUUGGCACUUGCAUUGUUAGCUGUGGGACUUUGGGCAAAGCAUUUUACUUUUUUCUGUUUGUCAGUUUCAUCAUUUUUCCCCAAAUAAUUCAUUGAGUCCCUGCUGUAUUUGUGGAAGAAGAUGGAAGAUAGUCCAUAUAGCUUUUACAUAAUGUUAUCUGUGUUUCUCUGAAGCAGGGCUUGAGGCUGUCCGUCAGACUGAACCGAGAAGGCAUCACUGGGUGUGAAGAUGUGCUGAGGGAGUUUGGAGUGGUAAAGUAGAGGAGAAUAAUUGAGGUAAUGAGAUUUUUGUCUAGUGCUAGCCCUCAGCAUCUCAGGUGUAGUCUGGAAGUAGUCCGAGUAUUUGUUUGAACUCAUUUAGCUGGGUUCUUUCUAGGCUGGCUUACAGGAAGGAUAACGUGAGCUGGUGAUACUGUUAAGAGAUUGAUUUGAACCGUGAACUUUACAGUUCAACUCGGAAAAUGAUUGUCGAGUACCUGUUAAGUGCCAGCCAUGAUUCUAAUUGCUUACGUAGAUGUGACAAUAAACAAAGAGAAAGUCCUACAUAGAGUGGGAAAACAGAACAGUAACCACAAUAAGUACAUUAUGUCAUUAUUGGAAGGUGGGAAGUGCAGUGUGGAAAAAUUAUGUGGUAGCAUAGAGUGAGAUUGAGCCUCAUCAUGAACCAGAUUUGAGCCAAAUAUGAUGGAGAUGAAUAUAUGAGCCAAGCAGAUAGCUGGGAGAAGGAGCCUUGUAGGUGAGUGAAGAGCAAUGCAAAGGGAACAGAAGGUGUCUAGAGUGGAUGUCUGAGGAAGCUGGGUUGUUACUGUGGAAUGAAUGUCACUCAGACUUCAUGACAGCAUGUAACAUAGGAAUAGACAUGGGGAGAGAACCUGCUGGAAGGCUGUGGAGGGACACAGAUGUGCACCAGAGGUAGUGUGGGCUAGGGUAGCAGUAGUAGAGAUGGUAAAAAGUAGAUGGACCCUGGAAAAAGUAGGUGGACCCUGGAUGUAUUUUGAAGGUAUAACCAAUAGGAUUUGCUGACAAA
Molecule: long non-coding RNA, 2620 nt
Organism: Heterocephalus glaber (naked mole-rat)
Lineage: Eukaryota; Metazoa; Chordata; Mammalia; Rodentia; Bathyergidae
Source: Ensembl